Molecule: ribosomal RNA, 274 nt
Filed under: uncultured bacterium
Lineage: Bacteria
Description: partial 16S ribosomal RNA
Rfam family: Bacterial small subunit ribosomal RNA
Source: RNAcentral
UACGAAGGGGGCUAGCGUUGUUCGGAAUGACUGGGCGUAAAGGGCGCGUAGGCGGUUUUCCAAGUCAGGCUGUGAAAGCCCCGGGCUCAACCCGGGAAUUGCGCUUGAGACUGGGAAGCUUGAGUGCGGGAGAGGAUGGUGGAAUUCCCAGUGUAGAGGUGAAAUUCGUAGAUAUUGGGAAGAACACCGGUGGCGAAGGCGACCAUCUGGACCGCAACUGACGCUGAGGCGCGAAAGCGUGGGGAGCAAACAGGAUUAGAAACCCUCGUAGUCC